CCCCUCUCAGGGUUGCACCUGGAGAGUUUUCAGUACUCUACCAGUCAUGACUACAGGAGGAAGAGCUAAGCAGAGUCAUACUCAUUCCAUUCCUAGCUUGGGCAGUGGCUAGUAAGUGGAAGGCCAUCUGCUACAAGU
This is a small nucleolar RNA of Tachyglossus aculeatus (Australian echidna), 138 nucleotides long. The record is from RefSeq and is a predicted model, not a curated record. Lineage: Eukaryota; Metazoa; Chordata; Mammalia; Monotremata; Tachyglossidae.